AAUUAACACACAAUAUAGGGGUUGAUAGUAGAGGGGUGAAAAUUAAGGGCUGUAUGUAUGUAUGUUGUAUCAUAAAUAAAUGAAAAUAAUUUUUUGCUAAAAAAAAGUCAUAAGAAUCGGUCAAGCCGUUUGGAAGGAGUAUGGGAAUGAACAUUGUGACAACAAUUUUAUAUAUAUAGAUAUUAAAUUUACGGAAAUUGUAUUAAAUUAAUAUAAAUGGUUUUUCAAAAGAAACUGACAUAAAAAAAAUAACAAUUUCAAAGAAAUUGGCUAUUCAAUUUUGCUUUUCAAAUAUUUUACACAUAAAACUGCAAAAAUAAUUGAACUGUGCAUAUAAAAUGCUGUAUUAUUUAUUUUUAAUGUUCUUAUUUUUUGCUGCAUUACCAUGCCAAGUGUCAAUGCAUCGAACAGUGUUGCCACAUUUCAGAUUCAUCAACUACCCACCUUUAUUGUAUGUUACAUCUAGAGGUCAUAAAGCAAGAACAAGAACUAUAAGGCGAUUUUUAAAGUUAUAAUAAACCAAAUUAUAAAUUACAAAUACAUAUUAAUAACAGCCAUGCAAGCAUGGAUCUUUUGGAUAGAAGUAUUAUAAAACAUAAGUAAUAAACAACAAUACAACUUUUUGUGAAAAAUAUAUUAACCCCAUGUCACAAUGUUAAUAUUAUCAAAAUCAGACAUUUUUAACCUCUUUAUACUUGGUGGCAAAUCACUGUAAUUGUCAAAAAUAGGGUUAUAUGCCCAUGGCAAAAUAUGUGUGUAUCCAUUAGAAUCAUAAAUUACACUUUCAUUUUCCUUUGUGGUAAGUUGUGUGGUAUUGUCAACUAUAAAUUUUUCAUAUAUAUCCCCAAAUGAUACUGGUUUUUUUGUUUGUAAUUUAUUCUUUUCAGCAACUGCAAUAAAUAGACAAAUAAAAUGUAA
Pieris brassicae (large cabbage white) is the source of this 918-nucleotide long non-coding RNA. RefSeq lists it as uncharacterized. The transcript is spliced from 2 exons. Lineage: Eukaryota; Metazoa; Arthropoda; Insecta; Lepidoptera; Pieridae. The record is from RefSeq and is a predicted model, not a curated record.